CCAUCAGCUAUUCAAAAUACAAGCACACACACACACACAACACAUUAAAACCAAGUAUGACUAAAAGUGAAAAUUAUCCAAUUGUAGAAAUGGAAGAUUCUCUUUCAGUUUAAAAAAAAAAUUGCUGUGUGCUCCCUCCCUGCCCAAGCCCAAGAACAGACAGCAAAGGUUUCAUUGUGACAUCUUGGUCAUUUUAUGCUGUUGGUGAAUAAAAACGUUCUCUUGGUCCUGACACCAUGAUAACAUGAAGCAGAAAAAUAAAGUGAAGAGAUAGAGUGCCAAAUUUUUCCACAGUGGCUACAGGGCACUUCCAUGUAAACAGGACAACAGCAAGGGCACCAUUCAUUUUGUCACCCUGCAGAGUGCCUGUAUCAGAGGUGGGGGCUGAAUAAGCCAGCAGAAAUGAGAAGGGAAGAGUUAUCUGAAAUUAAAGAUGGGCCUUUUCUCUUUAGAUUUUUGCAAUGCAUCAUAACUGUAUUAUAGAACACGGAGCAGACUGGACCUGAAGAUCAUUAAUGAGGAUGUUCUCCAGAAAUCCUACUACCUAGUUGCUUCUACUCUGACAGUGACAGGUGAUGGAAAGGAAACCCAUUCUGAAAAUGUCGCUACUGAGCUUGAAGGCUUUCUGCAGACUUGUAGUAGAACAAUGGGAGGUUACCUUCUUCUAAGAGAGCCCUAGUGACUGGCUUGGAGUUCAGAGUCCCAAGGUUCUUCGUCCCGGGUUCACUUGCUAUGUUUCUAAUACAGCCUGCCACAUAUCAGGCUGCCCUACUUACUAACAUCUCUCACUCGCGCUUCAGCAAGCGGCGUGCUGUAAUAUAACUGGCCUCACCUCAGCUCUGGGGCACAAAUAUUCCUGUUAUUUUUCAUGUUCACUCUCUCACACGUGACUGGUACACCAGUAGUCUUCCUUUUCUCUAGAUCCCAACUGACUCUACUGGUAUCACAAAGGCUCUCAGCUUCUGGACUUCAACCCAACUGAUUGGCACAUCCCACCCCCCAGUCAUUUCAGCUUGGCACCAUCCUCUCACAGUCCCAUCUAGGAGGAGCCAUUACAACCUCAUCCUUUCAGGGCUCCAAGCUGUUCCCGGUGUAGCUAAUAUAUUUCAUUCUUACUGAGCUGGCCUCUUGAGCUCUCUCUCCAUUCUCUGCUUCUCUAUAAAUCAUACCGUUCUUAUUAUAAUUAGAUUUUGGUUUGGCUGUCAGGAAGUUUCCUUAAGGUGUUGUGGGCCAAUAAAUAUUAUGAGUAUUGUGUAAAUACUUAACACAAGCAUUUAAAAUGUAGUAACAAAACAAAAACGCAACUAGUGGGCUAAAUUUGGCCCAAAUGUUUGUUUUUCGGCCAUUUUCUUGUUUACUUUCUCAUGCUCUGACACCACAGUCCUUCACAUCUACUGAGCCCACACUAGAUCAUAACUGUAGUCAUCUUCUGUGUACCAACAUUAUGCUUCCAUCUACAAUGAAAGUGAAGGUGUUUGAACAGACAAAUCACAAGGCUGGGCAAAGUAUAUUACUACUCGGACGUCCUAAGGGAAAUAUCUUUGUUUUACUCAUCAAUCUUUCUUUAUUCUCUAAGGACAUCUCUUAGUCCCCACAGCAACUAUUUAAAACCUUUCCACUUUCCAAAAACACUACUCACUACCCUUCCUCAAUGUCUAUUUGCCUUCCAUGAGAAAGAAAGUUCAUUAAAUUGGAAGCAAUUUAAUUUCUUGCUUCCUCUCCAAAGUAAAACUUAGCUGCACCUAGACCUGCUCCUGUGUUCUCAUCUGCUUCUGUUGCACCUUCCCAGUCAAAGAAAAUUCUUUAAUCUGUGAACUGACCCCACUUUUAACCUCUUCCUGACCCUUCUACCCACCCCCCCUUUCUUUUUCAAGCUCCAUUUUGUUAGUGUUAAGUGGCCUUCCUGAAAGACACCUCACCAUACUUGCCUCACCCUCCCCAAAUGGCAAAGAUGCAAAGGAGCCAGCCACAUCCAUGGCUUCCAGUUUGUUUCUCAACCUGCUGUAAUUUAGUUUUCUUAUCAUUUUGUAUGUGUUGAAAGCUCCACAGGAGCACCCAAGGAGACCAACAAAGAAGCUGGGCCCAGAGGGGACUGCAGAGACUGACCAAUCAACCAAAGACCAUACAUAGAGAGGACCUAGACCACCUGCUCCGACAGCUAAGUCUUCAUCCCUCUCUUACAGAUCAGCUUCCUUCUUCCUGAAGAAUAUCUUUUAUUUAUUGUUUUCAAAGAGAGGAUCUUUUAAGUAGCAAGCUUCCUAGUCUUUCAAUAAAAGAGCGGCCAUGUGCAAUUAGCUGGAAGAAGUCCUGUGCAAUGCUUGGACCACGUUUUACCGUCUGUCUUAUUACACUGUAGAAAGAAGGACCGACAUAUGCUGUAAGAAGAAGUCAGAAGAAAUCUGAGCUUCCAGACUACCCCAUAACCUGUGAGAGUACGUACUGAGACUGGACCUGACGGCAGAGAAACUGGUGAAGCCGAUGUUGACUUUGCAACCCAUGAAGAUGCUGUUGCAGUUAUGUCAAAAGACAAAGCAAAUAUGCAACACAGAUACGCAGAGCUCUUCUUGAAUUCUACAGCGGGAGCAAGCGGUGGUGCUAUGGUAGCCAAAUGGGAGCCCUGGGCUUGUCAGGCCAGUCCAAGUAUGGUGGCCUAGCCAGCCAGGAGCUGAGUGGUGGUUACGAAGGUGGCUCUGGUGGCCAGAGCAGCAUGAGCGGAUAUGGGAGCCAAGGAGCAGUGAACAGCAGCUACUACAGUAGCGGAAGCCGCGCAGCUAUAGGCGUGAGUGGGAUGGGAGGGAUGUCUAGCAUGUCCAGUAUGAGUGGUGGAUGGGGAAUGGAAUUGAUUUUGAUCACUGACUCUUGACCAAUUUAAAAAAAAAAAAACCUUCAGUUUAACAGUUUUUGAAGUUUAACCUUGUGAAUAUUGGCAUCGCUCAAAAAACUGAGGUUCAAUGUUGAACACAGCAGUCACCUAGGAUGAAAGGGCAAAGUUGAGCUAGCUGUAACUUAACAAUUCCCAGUGUUUCUCUAGUUACUGUAGGAGGCAUGUAAGCAGUAUGUGUAUUUAGGUUAAAGCAGGGGAAUUAUGUUAAAUGUUCCUCUUAUACAUACAUUACAUUGAACACUGUUGAUGCAUGUUGAAAAGACAUGCUUUUUUGUAAAACUCAAUACAGGAGCUGUGUCUACAAUUAAAAGUAAGACAUUUGGCAUGUUUGUUAAUUCUAAUUUCAUUUGGUAACCUGUAAGGCACGUUUACAGGUUUAAAAAGUUUAAAGCUUUUUUUUUUUUUAAGUUAAUGGAGAAAUUUUGAGAUGCAAUAUCAUUACUUUAGGAUUUUUGGUCUUGGUGUUUGUAUGAAAUUCUAGGCCAUGAUUUAAGUCUUUCAUUGUAUUGUCAUUUUCUUUUAAGUGUAUUGCACUAAGUGAACCUUGUCAAAUAAAUCCUCCUUUUAAAAGCUAAAAUAAAAUAAAAUAAAUAAUAAUAGUAAUUUU
Meriones unguiculatus (Mongolian gerbil) is the source of this 3491-nucleotide long non-coding RNA. RefSeq lists it as uncharacterized. NCBI's taxonomy places the organism in Eukaryota, Metazoa, Chordata, Mammalia, Rodentia, Muridae. The record is from RefSeq and is a predicted model, not a curated record. The transcript has 4 exons.